UACGGAGGGUGCAAGCGUUGUUCGGAAUCAUUGGGCGUAAAGAGCGUGUAGGCGGUCGGGUAAGUCAGAUGUGAAAUCCCUUGGCUUAACCAAGGAAGUGCAUUUGAAACUGCCCGGCUUGAGUACGGGAGGGGGAAGUGGAAUUCCCGGUGUAGAGGUGAAAUUCGUAGAUAUCGGGAGGAACACCGGUGGCGAAGGCGGCUUCCUGGACCGAUACUGACGCUGAGACGCGAAAGCGUGGGGAGCAAACAGG
RNAcentral lists this ribosomal RNA (253 nucleotides) under uncultured bacterium. RNAcentral describes it as "partial 16S ribosomal RNA". It matches the Rfam family "Bacterial small subunit ribosomal RNA", at positions 524 to 776 of the family's 1533-position model. The record is from RNAcentral.